Molecule: long non-coding RNA, 747 nt
Organism: Papaver somniferum (opium poppy)
Lineage: Eukaryota; Viridiplantae; Streptophyta; Magnoliopsida; Ranunculales; Papaveraceae
Exons: 3
Source: RefSeq, a predicted model, not a curated record
AGAAAAAAAUAAUCUAUUUCUAUUGUUAUCUCCGUCACCCUCGCUCUCCUAUCUUCUUCAUCCUAUUUUCUCACAAGCAAAAGAAAAACCAAAGAUCUAGCACACACCCAUAAGUAACCAAUGAAAAUGUUUCAUACCAUCACCUUAAAAGGUUUAUUUUUCAUUUGCGGAUUUCAAAGAAAUCAUCCGAUGAUUUCUUUUGAAGUAGCUCUUAGUUUGUUAAAUACUCAGUUUUUAUGUAUAAGAAAUCUAAGCUCUCUUUAAUUUUAGUAUUUUAAAACGAAUGAAAAGGUGAAGAAAAUUUCAUUAACAUAGUCACUAAAAUCCCUAACAGAAAGAAAUCAAGAUUCACUUUUCUACACCACCUUAUGGAUAUGGUUAUUGAUGAAUUAAUUUCGAAACUGCUGGAAUUCGUUGAAGAGAUAUCAACGUGAUAUGGAAAGGAAGCCGCAUCUCUCAUAAAAAGGUGGAGUGAAUAAUGCUUCAUCAAGUGCUGCCAUUCUUUUCUCUUGCGGAUCUGAACUGUGUACCGUCUCUCUCUGGGAGGACCAUUUGUUCGAGCUACCCAAGUGGUAUUGUACCAUCAGACUGUUAUAUUUUUUGAAGCAGUACCAUCAGAUUGUGAUCAAUGCUCUGUACUUUAUUUUAUUUUUUUACUAGAAUAAUUAAUUGUCAUCUCUCAUGUAUAUUUUUGUUGAAAUUGGAAUAAUAAGAUGUAUUAUCAAUCAUAAAUAAUUUUUUUUUGAA